AUUGAACGCUGGCGGCAUGCUUUACACAUGCAAGUCGAACGGCAGCGCGGGGCAACCUGGCGGCGAGUGGCGAACGGGUGAGUAAUACAUCGGAACGUACCCAGAAGUGGGGGAUAACGUAGCGAAAGUUACGCUAAUACCGCAUACGUUCUACGGAAGAAAGUGGGGGACCUUCGGGCCUCAUGCUUUUGGAGCGGCCGAUGUCUGAUUAGCUAGUUGGUGAGGUAAAGGCUCACCAAGGCGACGAUCAGUAGCUGGUCUGAGAGGACGACCAGCCACACUGGGACUGAGACACGGCCCAGACUCCUACGGGAGGCAGCAGUGGGGAAUUUUGGACAAUGGGCGCAAGCCUGAUCCAGCAAUGCCGCGUGAGUGAAGAAGGCCUUCGGGUUGUAAAGCUCUUUUGUCAGGGAGGAAACGGCUGAGGAUAAUACCUUCGGCUAAUGACGGUACCUGAAGAAUAAGCACCGGCUAACUACGU
This 481-nucleotide ribosomal RNA is filed under the name uncultured bacterium. RNAcentral's name for it is "partial 16S ribosomal RNA". It matches the Rfam family "Bacterial small subunit ribosomal RNA", at positions 30 to 506 of the family's 1533-position model. The record is from RNAcentral.